ACUAAGUUUCAACAACGGAUCUCUAGGCUCUCGCAUCGAUGAAGAACGCAGCGAAAUGCGAUAAGUAAUGUGAAUUGCAGAAUUCAGUGAAUCAUCGAAUCUUUGAACGCACCUUGCGCUCCUUGGUAUUCCUUGGAGCAUGCCUGUUUGAGUAUCAUGAAAU
This 163-nucleotide ribosomal RNA is filed under the name Ceratobasidium sp. AG-A. RNAcentral describes it as "5.8S ribosomal RNA". It matches the Rfam family "5.8S ribosomal RNA". From Rfam's summary of the family: 5.8S ribosomal RNA (5.8S rRNA) is a component of the large subunit of the eukaryotic ribosome. It is transcribed by RNA polymerase I as part of the 45S precursor that also contains 18S and 28S rRNA. Functionally, it is thought that 5.8S rRNA may be involved in ribosome translocation. Lineage: Eukaryota; Fungi; Basidiomycota; Agaricomycetes; Cantharellales; Ceratobasidiaceae. The record is from RNAcentral.